CCUACGGGAGGCAGCAGUGGGGAAUCUUGCGCAAUGGGCGCAAGCCUGACCCAGCAACGCCGCGUGAAGGAAUAAGGCUUUCGGGUUGUAAACUUCUUUUCUCAGGGACGAAGCAAGCGACGGUACCUGAGGAAUAAGCCACGGCUAACUACGGGCCAGCAGCCGCGGGAAUACGUAGGUGGCAAGCGUUAUCCGGAUUUACUGGGUGUAAAGGGCGUGUAGGUGGGCCUGCAAGUCAGAUGUGAAAACUACGGGCUCAACCUGUGGACUGCAUUUGAAACUGUGGUUCUUGAGUGCAGGAGAGGAAGACGGAAUUCCUAGUGUAGCGGUGAAAUGCGUAGAUAUUAGGAGGAACACCAGUGGCGAAGGCGAUCUGCUGGACAGCAACUGACGCUGAGGCGCGAAAGCGUGGGGAGCGAACAGGAUUAGAUACCCGUGUAGUC
This 443-nucleotide ribosomal RNA is filed under the name uncultured bacterium. RNAcentral's name for it is "partial 16S ribosomal RNA". It matches the Rfam family "Bacterial small subunit ribosomal RNA", at positions 338 to 795 of the family's 1533-position model. The record is from RNAcentral.